AUACGUAGGGGGCAAGCGUUAUCCGGAUUUACUGGGUGUAAAGGGAGCGUAGGUGGUUCCAUAAGUCAGAUGUGAAAGCCCAGGGCUCAACCCUGGGACUGCAUUUGAAACUAUGGAACUAGAGUGCAGGAGAGGUAAGUGGAAUUCCUAGUGUAGCGGUGAAAUGCGUAGAUAUUAGGAGGAACACCAGUGGCGAAGGCGGCUUACUGGACUGUAACUGACACUGAGGCUCGAAAGCGUGGGGAGC
Molecule: ribosomal RNA, 247 nt
Filed under: uncultured bacterium
Lineage: Bacteria
Description: partial 16S ribosomal RNA
Rfam family: Bacterial small subunit ribosomal RNA
Source: RNAcentral